GGCCACUGAGGCCUCCCCGUUCGCCUCCCAGAGGCCGCCACUUUCUUCAGGGCUAUCAGAUGAAGGCAGCAACGAAAACACCACCACAAGACCAACUUCAGGCUGGAGCUGAUGAUGCCACACAGAAAAUAGACUCUACUUAGAAAUGAAACUCAACUAAAGGUAAAAGUUGUCAGGAACAUCUCCAAGAAAGCCAGAGUCAGCCUCUAAACUUUGCAUCAAGAACGCAAUGGCUUCCCUGAGGGCCCAGGGACGCGUGGCAGCUGUGAGGCAGCCCCUUCUCUGCUGUCGAGGAACUGGACACUUCUCCUGUCCCUUCCCACAAGGGGCUUCCUGGAGCUCCUGCAACCCCAGGCAUUAGUUCCGGUGCAGUUCUAGGAUCAGAUCAAUUCACUCGACAACAAGAGAAACAAAUGGAGAUUCCUACACAAAGACUUUCAAGCACAAAGAAAUCCUGCUGCCUGUAAAGCGGAGCUGCCUCAGCCCUUGAUGAACGACAGAAAAUACCACCUACUGCCAGACCUCAACGCCUCACAAAACUCUCACCCACCUACUGCUUUUAGCUCACAUUCCAGGAAUUCAGAUGAAGUGAAGUGCUCUCAUGGGGACCAGGCAUGGUUAUGCCAGUCCACUGCCCUGCAAGCCUCAAGGGAAGCCAACUGCCCUUCAGCAAGUCACACCUGCCUUGGUGGAGGCCUUGAUUGGAAGUGCCACACGCUACAUGUCCAGUCCUGAGCGGGAGAAUCGGUGUAGGGACGUUCUGGGGAUGCCAGCUGUGGCCAGAUCAGGUCCAACUACAGAAGAAUAAUGAAGACUCCACCUGAGGGCUGGAAAAACAAAACCUCAAGUGUGAGGCAGCCAACCUGUUACCUCGAGGGACUGUUCCGCAGCACAGCGGGGCCAUGGGAACAGCAGCAGACACCCCGACCUCCUCGCUACCUGUGUGUGUAUUAACACGCCGGCCUCCUCGCUACCUGUGUGUGUAUUAACACGCCGGCCUCCUCGCUCCCUGUGUGUGUAUUAACACCCCGGCCUCCUCGCUCCCUGUGUGUGUAUUAACACGCCGGCCUCCUCGCUACC
RNAcentral lists this long non-coding RNA (1080 nucleotides) under Homo sapiens (human). RNAcentral describes it as "novel transcript". The record is from RNAcentral. Lineage: Eukaryota; Metazoa; Chordata; Mammalia; Primates; Hominidae.